AACUUAGCAGAGAUGCUUUGGUGCCUUCGGGAACUCUGAGACAGGUGCUGCAUGGCUGUCGUCAGCUCGUGUUGUGAAAUGUUGGGGUUAAGUCCCGCAACGAGCGCAACCCCUAUCCUUUGUUGCCAGCGAUUCGGUCGGGAACUCAAAGGAGACUGCCGGUGAUAAACCGGAGGAAGGUGGGGAUGACGUCAAGUCAUCAUGGCCCUUACGAGUAGGGCUACACACGUGCUACAAUGGCGCAUACAAAGAGAAGCGACCUCGCGAGAGCAAGCGGACCUCAUAAAGUGCGUCGUAGUCCGGAUUGGAGUCUGCAACUCGACUCCAUGAAGUCGGAAUCGCUAGUAAUCGUAGAUCAGAAUGCUACGGUGAAUACGUUCCCGGGCCUUGUACACACCGCCCGUCACACCAUGGGAGUGGGUUGCAAAAGAAGUAGAUAGCUUAACCUUCGGGAGGGCGUUUACCACUUUGUGAUUCAUGACUGGGGUGAAGUCGUAACAAGGUAAGCGUAGCGAG
This 516-nucleotide ribosomal RNA is filed under the name uncultured bacterium. RNAcentral's name for it is "bacterial SSU rRNA". It matches the Rfam family "Bacterial small subunit ribosomal RNA", at positions 994 to 1509 of the family's 1533-position model. The record is from RNAcentral.